Long non-coding RNA from Suricata suricatta (meerkat), 807 nucleotides. RefSeq lists it as uncharacterized. The record is from RefSeq and is a predicted model, not a curated record. The transcript is spliced from 3 exons. NCBI's taxonomy places the organism in Eukaryota, Metazoa, Chordata, Mammalia, Carnivora, Herpestidae.
CCCAGGAAACUCCAGGGCACUGGGCUGGUCCGAGGGGAGCUGUCCUAGAAAACACCAGCAUUUGCCCAGUUUCUAUGCCAGGGCCGGGGAGCUGAUUGGUAAAGGGCCAUAUCGGUCAUUUCCCCAAAAGCCUCCCAUGAAUGUGAACCGUGGGAUGAUUGUGCUGGGAUACGGACCCGGAAGUAGGAAAACUGGGCCACCGGAAGUGCAGGAUGGGCGUUCUAUCUCCACUUGUACCUUCCCGCGCCUUCCCCAAGCUGCCCCGCUCUCCACACUCGCCCCCGCCCCCAGCGAUCCCCUCCACUGGCGGCCAAAGCCAUCUCCGAAAGGCACAAGUCAAAUCACAUCGCUGUGACACAGGACAGCUGAACAGACUCCAUUUUAGAAAGGCUCCGUCUCUGCUGUGUUUCUGCUAGAAAGCACGUUCCAGAUUCUGCCUUUGAAUAAGCCAGGAAGCUCUGUUCCCAGUCGAGGGGGACGCAAGAAAGUGAAUCAUUCUCUGAGUUUUGUCCUAGACCCCAAACACCUGAUAACACCCAAGGACCAGGUCCCAGACAUGCCAGGACCUCGGCUCCAAGCUUCAGCUGACUGGCAUCGAGACACCCCUAUCUUCAGUGGUUCAACAAAUAACACCUGUCGCUCACUUGACUCUUUACUUGGACCCUAGUGGAUUCUUAAAGGAACACAUACAUUCCCUAAACUCUUCUCCAGUAUCAACCUCUAACCCUGAGCAACGACGAGACUCCGUCUUCUCUCCUCUCUGAGGGUCUCCCGGGCACUCUGUCCGCUAUUCUCUGUCACUCACAC